Molecule: ribosomal RNA, 342 nt
Filed under: uncultured bacterium
Lineage: Bacteria
Description: partial 16S ribosomal RNA
Rfam family: Bacterial small subunit ribosomal RNA
Source: RNAcentral
GGGGAAUAUUGCACAAUGGGCGCAAGCCUGAUGCAGCCAUGCCGCGUGUGUGAAGAAGGCCUUCGGGUUGUAAAGCACUUUCAGCGAGGAGGAAGGGUAGUGUGUUAAUAGCACAUUGCAUUGACGUUACUCGCAGAAGAAGCACCGGCUAACUCCGUGCCAGCAGCCGCGGUAAUACGGAGGGUGCAAGCGUUAAUCGGAAUUACUGGGCGUAAAGCGCACGCAGGCGGUUUGUUAAGUCAGAUGUGAAAUCCCCGCGCUUAACGUGGGAACUGCAUUUGAAACUGGCAAGCUAGAGUCUUGUAGAGGGGGGUAGAAUUCCAGGUGUAGCGGUGAAAUGCG